This 367-nucleotide ribosomal RNA is filed under the name uncultured organism. RNAcentral describes it as "bacterial LSU rRNA". It matches the Rfam family "Bacterial large subunit ribosomal RNA", at positions 2099 to 2465 of the family's 2925-position model. The record is from RNAcentral.
CUUUACUGUAGCCUGGUAUUGGGUUCGGGCCUUGCAUGCGCAGGAUAGGUGGGAGACUGAGAGGCUGCUCUUGUGGGAGUAGCGGAGUCAACGGUGAGAUACCACUCUUGUGAGGCUAGAAUUCUAACCUUGAGCCAUGAACUGGCGAAGGGACAGUAUCAGGUGGGCAGUUUGACUGGGGCGGUCGCCUCCUAAAAGGUAACGGAGGCGCGCAAAGGUUCUCUCAGGCUGGUUGGAAAUCAGCCGUAGAGUGUAAAGGCAGAAGAGAGCUUGACUGCGAGACCUACAAGUCGAGCAGGGACGAAAGUCGGCCUUAGUGAUCCGACGGCACUGAGUGGAAGGGCCGUCGCUCAACGGAUAAAAGUUA